UAAUAACAUAUAUUCUAAAAAUCAAAUUCGGCAUAUAAACGAAUACGUUGAAAGGUUGGAGGCCCUAACAAAGUUAGUUGAAAGAAUGACUAACGCAAAAGAUUUAUUUAACAGUUCUCAAAUAGAAAAGAUCAUAUUGGAGAAUUUUUGCAAAAUUCGAUGCAAGCUAUCAAUUCGCAACAAACAAAUCGAAAGACAGAAACAGUAUUUUGAUAGAUUUUUCUCUUAGUGACAAAUAUAAAAAUUGCAACUUUGUAUGC
Nylanderia fulva is the source of this 260-nucleotide non-coding RNA. The record is from RefSeq and is a predicted model, not a curated record. Lineage: Eukaryota; Metazoa; Arthropoda; Insecta; Hymenoptera; Formicidae.